GGAAAACUGGGCCUGUGGUGCUGCUGGGGUUUGGAGAGGUGUCUGAUCCAGCAAGGGUGGUCCACGGACUGCAGGCAGCUGGAGAGGAUGAUACUUUUCAAUUCCAAAGAUGUAAACGUGACGUUGGAUGACCAGGCUUUCUUAUAUUUUAUAUGGAAGUAGCAGUUGGGUAACUCAUUUUGCAACGGAUCUGAGAUGGGCAGUAGGGUGCAGGCAGAGCACCCGUAAAAAGGCGACUGUGUGGAAGCUCCGAAAAUUAAAGCUGGCAAGCAAGAAGGAGCCCGAAGUCAUUCUCGCACUGCUAACCAGUGGCAGCCUUUGAAACAGAAUGUGCAAGGGUGCUUCCUAGAGGAAGGAGGGUGCCAGCAUCAACAGCCCAACAGGGGAGAGAGAGACGGAAGGUGAUGAUGCAGUCAAUAUCUG
This is a long non-coding RNA of Gorilla gorilla gorilla (western lowland gorilla), 423 nucleotides long. RefSeq lists it as uncharacterized. The transcript has 3 exons. Lineage: Eukaryota; Metazoa; Chordata; Mammalia; Primates; Hominidae. The record is from RefSeq and is a predicted model, not a curated record.